This 131-nucleotide small nucleolar RNA is filed under the name Chinchilla lanigera (long-tailed chinchilla). RNAcentral describes it as "Small nucleolar RNA SNORA38 (ENSCLAG00000018875.1)". It matches the Rfam family "Small nucleolar RNA SNORA38". From Rfam's summary of the family: ACA38 is a member of the H/ACA class of snoRNA that guide the sites of modification of uridines to pseudouridines. The record is from Rfam by way of RNAcentral. Lineage: Eukaryota; Metazoa; Chordata; Mammalia; Rodentia; Chinchillidae.
CCCUCCUACAAAGGCGUGUCUUUUGCUGCCUGUCUUUGGACACGUAAGAAUUGGAGGCAAAGAAAUGGGGAUUUGGAGACAUCUAGAGCUGGUUUGCACCCCACAAGCUCAAGAUCAACUGUCCCACAUAA